GUGGGGAAUCUUGCGCAAUGGGCGAAAGCCUGACGCAGCCAUGCCGCGUGAAUGAUGAAGGUCUUAGGAUUGUAAAAUUCUUUCACCGGGGACGAUAAUGACGGUACCCGGAGAAGAAGCCCCGGCUAACUUCGUGCCAGCAGCCGCGGUAAUACGAAGGGGGCUAGCGUUGCUCGGAAUUACUGGGCGUAAAGGGCGCGUAGGCGGACAGUUUAGGCAGAGGUGAAAGCCCAGGGCUCAACCUUGGAAUUGCCUUUGAUACUGGCUGUCUUGAGUACGGGAGAGGUGAGUGGAACUCCGAGUGUAGAGGUGAAAUUCGUAGAUAUUCGGAAGAACACCAGUGGCGAAGGCGACUCACUGGCCCGUUACUGACGCUGAGGCGCGAAAGCGUGGGGAGCAAACAGGAUUAGAUACCCUUGUAGUCC
Molecule: ribosomal RNA, 425 nt
Filed under: uncultured bacterium
Lineage: Bacteria
Description: partial 16S ribosomal RNA
Rfam family: Bacterial small subunit ribosomal RNA
Source: RNAcentral